Molecule: long non-coding RNA, 1066 nt
Filed under: Oryctolagus cuniculus (rabbit)
Lineage: Eukaryota; Metazoa; Chordata; Mammalia; Lagomorpha; Leporidae
Description: lncRNA (ENSOCUG00000031935.1)
Source: RNAcentral
AACCACAACUGUAAUGUCAGGGGACAGAUAGUCACGGCCAGUGACGGCAGCCCAAGCGCCUCUCGCUGAGGUCAGUCCCUUCCACUUCCACACCUGCCUCCCGCCUGGAGGGCUUCUCCACACCCAGGCCCUGCCUGCCGCCCGCUCCCACCUGGCCCCGCCACUAGGUGUUGCGACACAGGUGAUCCCUUAAGAGCUGGUGGGUGGGGGAAGACCCACCAAGGCCCGCCCCCACCAGCAGGUGCUGAGCUAGAUAAGACCCUGCGAACUGGAGGCCGAAAUACACUCUGCCUGCCCAAGCCGCUCCUGAAGCUAAGGAGCAGCUGACUCGUACAGCUAGCCGUCUUUAUCUUCUGUGGUCUCCAGGCUGCCUCAUCCCCACUCUUCCUCACCAGGCCCAGAGGACAGCAGAAGUGUGUGAAUCUUAAUCCACAAAACCCAGGUCCAACCCCGCAGGGAGAGGGAACGCCCACAGGCUGGAGCAGGUGCACGAGGGUCUUCAGUGACACAGCCACCGAAUCGGGGGAGACGCUGGAGGUGAGCCGACAGCCCGGGGAAGGCAGAGCGACGCGGGGCGGGGCCGCCUGGCACUGCUGCCGGAGCCAGGAGCUGGUUCCUGAAACAAUCUUUCACUCAUCACACCUGCAGGACUCUAAGUGGAGGAUCCAGCUUCCCGCUUUACCCACGCAGAAGGGGCUCGCCGGUCACAUCAUCCUCGAAAGAAAAACAGCACACAGAUCUUAACUGAGAGACCUGCCAAGCCCCCGGACCAGCACUGCCCUUAGCUGUCAAGGUCAACAACCAGGGCAGUAUGCACACUGGCACGGGCCAGCGGAGCAGAGAGGGCCGGGGCAGAGCAGAGGUGGAGCAGAGGCAGUGAGGUGGAGGGGCGGCAGGGGGCGAGACUAGCCCCUGCAGAAAGGGGCCCAGACGCAGACGUGAGAGUGUUAAUUAACAACAGAAGGCCAGCGCAGCGCUUACUAGGCUAAUCCUCCACUUGCGGCGCCGGCACACCGGGUUCUAGUCCCAGCUGGGGCGCCGGUUCUGUCCCAGUUGCUCCUCUUCC